Molecule: ribosomal RNA, 288 nt
Filed under: uncultured prokaryote
Description: partial 16S ribosomal RNA
Rfam family: Bacterial small subunit ribosomal RNA
Source: RNAcentral
UACGUAGGGGCAAGCGUUAUCCGGAUUUACUGGGUGUAAAGGGAGCGUAGACGGCAGUGCAAGUCUGAAGUGAAAGCUCGCGGCUUAACCGCGGAACUGCUUUGGAAACUGUACAGCUAGAGUACCGGAGGGGUAAGCGGAAUUCCUAGUGUAGCGGUGAAAUGCGUAGAUAUUAGGAAGAACGCCGGUGGCGAAGGCGGCUUACUGGACGGUAACUGACGUUGAGGCUCGAAAGCGUGGGGAGCAAACAGGAUUAGAUACCCCGGUAGUCCCUGAGCGGGCUGGCAA